Molecule: ribosomal RNA, 420 nt
Filed under: bacterium
Lineage: Bacteria
Description: partial 16S ribosomal RNA
Rfam family: Bacterial small subunit ribosomal RNA
Source: RNAcentral
UGGGGGAUAUUGCACAAUGGGCGAAAGCCUGAUGCAGCGACGCCGCGUGGGGGAUGAAGGCUUUCGGGUUGUAAACCUCUUUCGCUAUCGAACAAGGCCCGCUUAGGGUGGGUUGAGGGUAGGUGGAGAAGAAGCGCCGGCUAACUACGUGCCAGCAGCCGCGGUAAUACGUAGGGCGCGAGCGUUGUCCGGAAUUAUUGGGCGUAAAGGGCUUGUAGGCGGCUUGUUGCGCCUGCUGUGAAAACGCGGGGCUUAACUUCGCGCGUGCAGUGGGUACGGGCAGGGUUGAGUGUGGUAGGGGUGACUGGAAUUCCAGGUGUAGCUGUGGAAUGCGCAGAUAUCUGGGGGAACACCGAUGGCGAAGGCAGGUCACUGGGCCAUUACUGACGCUGAGGAGCGAAAGCAUGGGUAGCGAACAGG